ACGGAGGGUGCAAGCGUCAAUCGGAAUUACUGGGCGUAAAGCGUGCGUAGGUGGUUCGUUAAGUCCGUUGUGGAAGCCCCGAGCUCAACCUGGGAAUUGCAGUGGAUACUGGCGAGCUGGAGUGCGGUAGAGGAAGGUGGAAUUCCCAGUGUAGAGGUGAAAUUCGUAGAUAUUGGGAAGAACACCGGUGGCGAAGGCGGCUCACUGGCUCAUUACUGACGCUCAGGCGCGACAGCGUGGGGAUCAAACAGGA
RNAcentral lists this ribosomal RNA (253 nucleotides) under uncultured prokaryote. Its description in RNAcentral is "partial 16S ribosomal RNA". It matches the Rfam family "Bacterial small subunit ribosomal RNA", at positions 525 to 777 of the family's 1533-position model. The record is from RNAcentral.